AACGAACGCUGGCGGCGUGCUUAACACAUGCAAGUCGAGUGCGCGCCUGUAGCAAUACAGGUGGCGCACGGCGCACGGGUGCGUAACACGUGGGUAAUCUGCCCUCUGAUGGGGAAUAACCCGCCGAAAGGCGGGCUAAUUCCGCAUAAAAUUCCUUGAUCUUAUGACCGAGGACUCAAAGGCGUAAGUCGUCGGAGGAGGAGCCCGCGCACGAUUAGCUAGUUGGUAGGGUAAUGGCCUACCAAGGCUUUGAUCGUUAGCUGGUCUGAG
This 270-nucleotide ribosomal RNA is filed under the name uncultured bacterium. Its description in RNAcentral is "partial 16S ribosomal RNA". It matches the Rfam family "Bacterial small subunit ribosomal RNA", at positions 29 to 296 of the family's 1533-position model. The record is from RNAcentral.